CAGCCGCCGCGGGAAUACGUAGGGUGCGAGCGUUAAUCGGAAUUACUGGGCUUAAAGCGCGUGUAGGCGGGCCGCCACGUCGGUUGCUGAAAUCCCCCGGCUCAACCGGGGAAGUGGCAUCGAUACGAGCGGCCUUGAGGGGGGUAGGGGGAUCUGGAACUCCCGGUGAAGCGGUGAAAUGCGUUGAGAUCGGAAGGAACGCCCGUGGCGAAAGCGAGGUCCUGGACCCUUUCUGACGCUGAGACGCGAAAGCCAGGGGGGCGAACGGGAUUAGAUACCCCCGUAGUCCCUGUCUCUUAUA
Molecule: ribosomal RNA, 301 nt
Filed under: uncultured bacterium
Lineage: Bacteria
Description: partial 16S ribosomal RNA
Rfam family: Bacterial small subunit ribosomal RNA
Source: RNAcentral